RNAcentral lists this small RNA (520 nucleotides) under Pongo abelii (Sumatran orangutan). RNAcentral's name for it is "processed transcript". The record is from RNAcentral. Lineage: Eukaryota; Metazoa; Chordata; Mammalia; Primates; Hominidae.
UUGGAUUUGGGACAAGAUGGAAAAACAGCAAUACAAAUCUGAAGUCCAUAAAGCUUCAUUAAUAAUUGAUUUGUUUGGGAAUGAGCAUGAUAAUUUUACAAAAAAUCUUGAAAAUCUCAUGUCUACCAUUCAAGAGAGUUACUGUUCCAACUGGCGAUGCCCAACUCGAGUGCAGGAGGAUCAACAGCGCACAAUUAAUAUAAAUCCUCCCCAAGAAAUUCCACAUGGAAACUUGAUAAGACUGGCUGUGAAUGAGUUAUUCUGUUCCAAGAUUGAACUGUGUGAAGAGCAUGGGUACAAUAAAACCUUGGUUAACCGGAACCCAGCUAAUCGGGACCCUCAGUUAUCUGGAUUUUUUUCUGCACUCUCCAUUUAGGAAAAAGAGGUGUGGUGGCUUAAGAGAAUUUUCCCAACGAGUUUUCUGCCAUGGGGCACCCCCUUUUGUUGUCUUAAAUAUGCAACAUUGGAAAUCUGAAGAUCUGGCAUAUGUACCCUAUUACUUGGAUUUGUCUGAUCACAA